This 7103-nucleotide long non-coding RNA is filed under the name Manihot esculenta (cassava). Its description in RNAcentral is "long non-coding RNA (MESC_LNC003437)". The record is from RNAcentral. Lineage: Eukaryota; Viridiplantae; Streptophyta; Magnoliopsida; Malpighiales; Euphorbiaceae.
GUAGUUAACCAGUAGUGGGUAGUUAUCCAGUAGUGGAUAGUUAACCAGUAGUGGGUAGUUAUCCAGUAGUGGAUAGUGGCAUAGAUCAUGGAUCGAUGCAGUGGGUAGUGGCAUAGAUCAUGGGUCCAUGCAUAGUAGUGGGAAGUGGCAAAGAUCAUGGGUCUUUAUUUAGGUUAUAUAAAGCAUCUCUUUUUCCAUAUUGUAGAUAGAUUAUCAAUUAUUCAAUACAAUUACUUUAUGCGAUUCUUCUUUGAGAGCUUAAGAGAGAUCUUGGUUCUUGACACUGCAUCACGAAUAAGGUUCGAUACUAACUUUUAUGUUUCUUAUUCUUGCUGUUUUUAAAAUCAAUCAGUUAUAAGUGUUCUUAAUUGCAUGUUAAUUAAUGGUGCUUUAGAUUGGGGAAUUGUUUUCUGAACUAAGUUCUUUUUACAAGGGUAUGUAUCGUUUCAGUCUCUAAUAGGCUGGGGUUCCGCGUCAAUUGGUAUCAGAGCUAGGCUUAGUAAUAAUUUCUUAACUAUCCUUGUGUCUUUUCUUCAAUUUUUCAUGAUCUUUCCGUUUGGGAUACCUACCAGAGUCGAAUACAUUGUUUAGUUGCUGUUCAAAUCGUAUUUUACCCUAAAUUCUUGUUUAGGCAGAAUUACUAUCUUCAGUGGUUUGGUUUGUGCUUUCUGCUCUAAUUCGUAUGCUCCUAUUCUAACACUAUUAGAAUAGUAUUUCCAGUGUUUUACUUUAGUCCAUAUAAAAAAAAAUACCAAAAAGAAGAAAAAAAAAAGAAAAAGAAUUUCUGCAAUUUGGGUUAAUUGUUCAAACUUCAUUUUGAUAUUGAUACCUACUGGUACAAAUCAUAUUUCAUAUACUUUGAACAUAUUUCAGGGUUUGGGAUUCGAAAUACAUGUUUGGGUAGGUUUAGGGCAAAUUUGGGUAGUAUUUUCACAAAAAAUAGUUUUACUUAAUACUGGCUGUUUUAAGUGUCUUUUUUGUUUGCUUGCUUUGAAUUGUUUUUGUUGAGUCAAUAUUAAGAUCAAUUAACCUAGGAUUGCAUGCUUAGGGAUAACUUCGUGUUAAGCACAUCCGUCUUGUUAAUUUUUGAUUCUUAGUUUGUCAAUUUGGUGUCUUUCUGUUUGUUGGUUCCUUACACUUAGUUUGACAAAUUGCACAUUGUUGAACAUCUAAUUACACUUAGUACACGAAAUUUUACUUUUGUGUGCUAAAUCAAUCCGUUUGUUCAUUUUGGUCAGUUUGCAUCUAGUGUUGUUUCCUAUCUUUUCUUGUUAGGUCUUUCCUUGCUUUCCUUAUUAUUUGAAUCAUACAAGCUUGGCUUAUUGAGUCUUUAUUCUAAAGUGCACUUUUGAGAUACCAAGUAAGUGCUUGAAAGUUAAACACGUGAGUUGAGAGAAUUGUGAAUUUUUCUAUAAUGUCUGGGCAUAAUACUGGUGAUAUUUCUGACUCUACGUUUGAUCUUAAAGAUAUGUAUAAAGCUUUCAUGGAUAGCUUUCAGAAGCUAAAUUUGAGAAUGGAUAACCUUGAGGACAACCUUAGAUCUUCAAAGGGCAAGUCCAAUCAGGGGGAUGAUGAUACACACGAUCCAUCCUACGAAAAGGAAAAUGUGGCACAAUCAGCCCCUUUCCGAGCCAGAAGGUUCAAUGAUCGUGUACCCUAUGUAGAUAACAAUAUGAACUCCAUAAAGAUGAAGAUUCCAAGCUUCAAUGGUAAGGCUGAUGUUGAUGCCUAUUUAGAGUGGGAGCGUAAAGUGGAGAUGGUUUUUAACUGUCAAAGCUAUUCCGACGAUAAGAAGGUAAAACUUGCUGCCCUUGAGUUUUCAGACUAUGCACUAAUAUGGUAGGAUGAGCUUGUGAAAUCUAGGAGAAGGAAUGGAGAGUUACCCAUUGCUAGUUGGGAAGAGAUGAAGCGAAUCAUGAGGAAGAAAUAUGUGCCUACUUAUUACCAUAGAGAUCUCCAUCAUCAGUUGCAAAGAUUAACCCAAGGAUCAAAAUCUGUUGAUGAGUAUUAUAAGGAGAUGGAGUUGCUCCUGAUCAAAGCAAACAUAGUGGAGGAGGAAGACCAGACCAUGGCUCGUUUCUUUGGUGGUCUAAACAAGGAGAUUGCUGAUGUGGUUGAUUUGCAACCAUAUGUUGAUUUGGAAGACUUGGUGAACAUUGCCAUUAAGGUGGAAAGACAGAGGCCGAAAUAGAUGGAGGAGUAACAGGGCUGCUCAAAACUCCAACAGCAAAUGGGGUUCCAAAUGGAACACCAAGACUGAUCCUAAAAGGUUUGAUAAGUCUUCAACUCAAAAAGGCAUGUUACCUUCCAAAGAAACAUCCAACUCUCUUAGUAAAAAUGAAUCAGCCCCUAAAUCUAAUAGGACUAGAGAUAUUCAGUGCUUUAAAUGUAAAGGGCGUGGGCAUUAUGCCAAUGAGUGUGUUAAUAAACGUGCCAUGAUAGUGAGGGGAGAUGAGAUAGUCUCCGAAACUGAUUUUGAUUCUAAUGAAAUACCACCUUUAGAAGAUUGUUCUGAUGUAAAGAUAGAAGAGUAUCCUGUUCAGGGAGAGUCCUUGGUCAUAUUGCGUACUUUAAAUGUUUCUAUUAAAGAAGAGGGGCUUGAACAGCGUGAAAACAUCUUUCACACUCGUUGUUUGAUAGGUGGUAAAGUCUGUUACAUGAUAAUAGAUUCGGGUAGUCAAGUUAAUUGUGCUAGUACUAUUUUAGUUGAUAAAUUAGGACUAGAAACUAUUAAACACCCUAAUCCUUACAGACUUGAGUGGUUGAAUGAUAGUGGCGAGGCAAAGGUAACCAAGCAAUGUAAAGUGUCAUUUUCUAUUGGCAAGUAUGUAGAUGAGGUUACUUGUGAUAUUGUACCCAUGCAGGCUGGACAUAUUAUGUUGGGUAGACCAUGACAAUUUGAUAGGCGUGUCAUGCAUGAUGGGUAUGGUAAUAGGUUUUCUUUUACGUUCCUUGGCGCAAAACAUAUACUUGUACCAUUAUCUCCUAAAGAUGUAUAUGCAGAUCAAGUGAAAUUACAACAAUCUGCUAAAUUGGGUAAGGGAGGUGAGACAAGUAAAAAGAAUGAGGGAAAAGAGGCCAGUAGUAAAAAGAAGGUUUCAAAUGGCCCAAAGGAGAGUGACUGCACAAGAAAGGAUAAAAAUGAGAGACGUGCAGGAGAGAAAACGUUAGUGAGUGUGGAGGUAAAAGGAGAGUUGAGUGAGAAGAGUGAAGAAUUCAGCAAGUCUUCCUUUUAUUGUAAAGAGAGAGAGUUGAAGAAGGCAUACUUAGGGAAGAGAGCUUUGAUUAUGUUGCGUUUUAGUUCCAAUUUUAUGAUUGAGAUUAACCCUACUAAUGAAUUGCCUAGUUCUUUUUCUAAGUUAUUGCAGGAUUUUGCGGAUGUAUUUCCUGAGGAGGUGCCAUCUGGGUUGCCACCCAUUAGGGGAAUAGAACAUCAGAUCGAUUUUGUUCCUGGAGCUCAGAUUCCAAACCAUCCAGCUUACCGGAGUAAUCCUGAGGAGACGAAGGAAUUGCAAAAGCAAGUUGAUGAGUUGCUAGCUAAGGGACAUAUCAGGGAGAGCCUCAGUCUAUGCGCAGUACCUGUUUCGUUGGUUCCAAAGAAAGAUGGAACAAUGCGCAUGUGUGUUGAUUGUCGUGCGAUCAACAAAAUCACUAUAAAGUAUCGCCAUCCUAUUCCUAGAUUAGAUGAUAUGCUUGAAGAAUUAUGUGGCGCUGUUUUCUUUACCAAAAUUAAUUUGAAAAGCGGUUAUCAUUAAAUUAGGAUGAAGUUAGGUGAUGAGUGGAAAACUGCCUUUAGGACUAAAUAUGGUUUAUAUGAAUGGUUAGUGAUGCCUUUUGGCUUAACUAAUGCACCUAGCACAUUUAUGAGAUUGAUGAACCAUGUUUUGCGUGAUUACCUAGAUAAGUUUGUGGUUGUCUAUUUUGAUGAUAUAUUGAUUUAUAGCCGAAACCAUGAUGAUCAUAUUAGGCAUGUUGAACUUGUUCUACAAAAGUUGCGUGAACAUGAAUUGUAUGCUAAUCUUAAGAAAUGCACAUUUUGUACUGAUAGUGUCAUAUUCCUAGGAUUUAUUAUUAGUUCACGGGGAGUUGAGGUAGAUACUGAAAAGGUUAAGGCUAUCCAAGAAUGGCCUACACCUAAGAAUGCUAAUGAGGUGAGAUCCUUUCAUGGAUUAGCAAGCUUCUAUAGGAGGUUUGUUAGAGAUUUCAGCACUAUUGCUGCACCUCUAAAUGAGAUUAUUAAAAAGGCUGUUGGGUUUAAAUGAGGUAAAGAACAGGAACUUGCAUUUAACACAUUAAAGGAAAAACUUACUGCUGCUCUUGUUUUAAGGUUACCUGAUUUUUCUAAAACCUUUGAAAUCGAAUGUGAUGCUUCUGGGAUUGGUAUUGGUGCUGUUCUUAUGCAGGAAGGCCAACCUAUAGCAUAUUUCAGUGAGAGCACUACUUGCUGCCUAAUGAGUUUGUGAUUCAUACCGACCAUCAAUCUCUCAAACACUUGAAGGGUCAAGGUAAGUUGAACAAGCGGCAUGGUAAGUGGGUUGAGUAUCUCGAAAUCUUUCCUUAUGUGAUUAAAUACAAGCAAGGUCAAGAGAAUGUGGCAGCUGAUGCAUUAUCUAGACGUUAUGCAUUGACUUCCAUGCUUAGUUCUAAUUUGUUAGGGUUUGAGCAUUUGAAAGACAUGUAUGAGAAUGAUACUGAUUUUUCUGAUGUAUUUAAGGCAUGUGAACAUGGGGCGUUUAACAAGUUUUAUUUGCAUGAUGGGUUUCUUUUUAGAGGGAAACAAAUAUGCAUAUCCAAUUGUUCAGUGCGUGAGUUGCUUGUUAGAGAAUCACAUUCAGGAGGGUUAAUGGGACAUUUUGGUGUGCAAAAGACUUUAAACAUGUUGAAUGAACACUUUUAUUGGCCUAACAUGCGAAAAUAUGUAGAAAAAAUUUGUGCUCAAUGCUUUGCAUGUAAACAAGCUAAAACUAAGUCCUUGCCACAUGGGUUGUAUACUCCUUUGCCUGUACCUACUGAACCUUGGACUGAUAUUUCUAUGGAUUUUGUGAUAGGUUUACCUAGGACAAAACGUGGUAGAGAUUCAGUGUUUGUUGUUGUAGAUCGCUUUAGUAAGAUGGCACAUUUUAUUCCAUGCCAUAAAACUGAUGAUGUAACAAACAUAGCUGAUUUGUUUUUCAGGGAAGUAGUCCGUUUGCAUGGUAUACCUAGGACUAUUGUUUCUGAUAGAGAUUCUAAGUUCCUUAGUCAUUUCUGGCGUGUUUUGUGGGGGAAAUUGGGUACUAAGCUUUUAUUUUCUACUACUUGUCAUCCACAGACAGAUGGCCAAACUGAAGUUGUUAAUAGGACUUUAGGAACUAUGCUUCGUGCUAUUGUGGGAAGGAACUUAAAAACUUGGGAAGAAUGUUUGCCAUAUGUUGAAUUUGCUUAUAAUCGCGCUGUCCAUUCUUCUACUGGUUAUUCACCUUUUGAGAUUGUGUAUGGUUUUAAUCCAUUAACUGUAUUAGAUUUAAUGCCUUUACCUUUGAACGAGUUGUCUAAUUUAGAUGGAAAAGCGAAGGCUGAAAUGGUUACAUCAAUACACAUGAAAGCGCGUGAGCAUAUUGAGAAGCGUAACAAAAUGUAUGAGAAACAGGCCAAUAAGGGUCGCAAGAAAGUUGUAUUUAGACCAGGUGAUUGGGUUUGGAUCCAUAUGCGAAAGGAGAGGUUUCCUAAUCUAAGGAAAUCAAAAUUGGAUGCACGAGGGGAUGGACCAUAUCAAGUGCUGAAACGGAUCAAUGACAACGCAUAUGUAAUUGAUCUGCCAGGUGAGUUUGGUGUAAGUGCUACCUUUAAUGUUUCUGAUUUGUCUCCUUUUGAUUUUGGUACAGAUUCAAGGACGAAUCCUUUUCAAGAGGGAGGGGAUGAUGUAAGCACAACCAACAACACUGAUGAGCUAGCAUUGCCUCAAGGAACAAUUACAAGGUUGAGAUCCAAGAGGUUGAAGGAAGCACUUCAAAGAUUCAUAAAGGAAUAUGUUGAAGCUUUGCAAGUUCAUUUUGAAGUUGAAGAAGAAUCUGGCCAUUCCAAGUCAAUUAGGCCGAAUGUGUUCUUAUUGACAGUUCAAAGUUUGUAUUUAUAGUGAGUAGUUAUUUAAUAGUGGGUAGUUAUUUAGUAGUGGGUAGUUAUUUAGCAGUUGGUAGUUAACCAGUAGUGGGUAGUUAACCAGUAGUGGGUAGUUAACCAGUAGUGGGUAGUUAUCCAGUAAUGGAUAGUUAACCAGUAGUGGGUAGUUAUCCAGUAGUGGAUAGUGGCAUAAAUCAUGGAUCGAUGCAAUGGGUAGUGGCAUAGAUCAUGAGUCCAUGCAUAGUAGUGGGAAGUGGCAAAGAUCAUGGGUCUUUAUUUAGGUUAUAUAAAGCAUCUCUUUUUCCAUAUUGUAGAUAGAUUAUCAAUUAUUCAAUACAAUUACUUUAUGCGAUUCUUCUUUGAGAGCUUAAGAGAGAUCUUGGUUCUUGACACUGCAUCACGAAUAAGGUUCGAUACUAACUUUUAUGUUUCUUAUUCUUGCUGUUUUUAAAAUCAAUCAGUUAUAAGUGUUCUUAAUUGCAUGUUAAUUAAGGGUGCUUUAGACUGGGGAAUUGUUUUCUGAACUAAGUUCUUUUUACUAGGGUAUGUGUCGUUUCAGUCUCUAAUAGGCUGGGGUUCCGCGUCAGUGUCAGCUACAAAUUAGUAGUAGAUAAAGAUCAGUUAACAGAAUAUGUAUGUCAAGGAACAAACGCAUGCGAACUAAGGGGGGGAAUAUUACAGAAAAGUCCAGAGGAGGAGUUUAAUUUGGAAACAAAAUUAGAAGAGGGACAACAUUAACUUUCAUAAGUUGUGUAAUGCCACAAAGAAAACUGCGCUGUAACAACCACCAAUUUUCCAGUUAGAAGAAAACAUGCCAAGUAAAAGAAACAAAUAAGCCUUCUUCCCUGUGGCCUAUAUUCUUAUAGUCAUUUUCCUAAUUAUGCAAAAUAAAGUAUAAAUGCCAGCAAAUCAAUUUUAGUAGCAUACCAGUACAAUUACUUAGCACUGGAAAUUUAGACUAGAACUUCCAAUCCAAGCAAGGAAACCAAACAAUAAUAACUGAC